UAAAGAUUCAUCGCUGAUAGAUAGGCAUGCGUUCCAUUAGGCAGUUGGCGGGGUAACGGCCCACCAAACCGACGAUGGAUAGGGGUUCUGAGAGGAAGGUCCCCCACAUUGGUACUGAGACACGGACCAAACUCCUACGGGAGGCAGCAGUGAGGAAUAUUGGUCAAUGGGCGUAAGCCUGAACCAGCCGAGUCGCGUGAGGGAUGAAGGUUCUAUGGAUCGUAAACCUCUUUUAUAAGGGAAUAAAGUGUGGGACGUGUCCUGUUUUGUAUGUACCUUAUGAAUAAGGAUCGGCUAACUCCGUGCCAGCAGCCGCGGUAAUACGGAGGAUCCGAGCGUUAUCCGGAUUUAUUGGGUUUAAAGGGUGCGUAGGCGGCCUUUUAAGUCAGCGGUGAAAGUCUGUGGCUCAACCAUAGAAUUGCCGUUGAAACUGGGAGGCUUGAGUAUGUUUGAGGCAGGCGGAAUGCGUGGUGUAGCGGUGAAAUGCUUAGAUAUCACGCAGAACCCCGAUUGCGAAGGCAGCCUGCCAAGCCAUGACUGACGCUGAUGCACGAAAGCGUGGGGAUCAAACAGGAUUAGAUACCCUGGUAGUCCACGCAGUAAACGAUGAUCACUAGCUGUUUGCGAUACAGUGUAA
This 637-nucleotide ribosomal RNA is filed under the name uncultured bacterium. RNAcentral's name for it is "bacterial SSU rRNA". It matches the Rfam family "Bacterial small subunit ribosomal RNA", at positions 202 to 842 of the family's 1533-position model. The record is from RNAcentral.